UAGAUUUGUCCUGAGUCAAACUUCUAUAAGUUUGACCAAAUUUAUAGUAAAAUUUACUAAUAUCCACAACAUCAAAUAUAUAGAGUAUGAAAAUACAUUUUAUGAUGAAUCUAAUGAAACUAGUUUGGUGUUAUAGAUUGGUAUAUUUUUCUAUACAGUUCAUCAAGUGUGGGGAAGUUUGACUUAGAAUAAACCUAC
This 198-nucleotide microRNA precursor is filed under the name Triticum aestivum (bread wheat). RNAcentral's name for it is "MIR1435 microRNA precursor family". It matches the Rfam family "MIR1435 microRNA precursor family". Lineage: Eukaryota; Viridiplantae; Streptophyta; Magnoliopsida; Poales; Poaceae. The record is from Rfam by way of RNAcentral.